This 273-nucleotide ribosomal RNA is filed under the name uncultured bacterium. RNAcentral describes it as "partial 16S ribosomal RNA". It matches the Rfam family "Bacterial small subunit ribosomal RNA", at positions 337 to 607 of the family's 1533-position model. The record is from RNAcentral.
ACCUACGGGAGGCAGCAGUGAGGAAUAUUGGUCAAUGGUCGGGAGACUGAACCAGCCAAGCCGCGUGAGGGAUGAAGGUACAGAGUAUCGUAAACCUCUUUUGUCAGGGAACAAAGGCGGGGACGUGUCCCCGGAUGAGUGUACCUGAAGAAAAAGCAUCGGCUAACUCCGUGCCAGCAGCCGCGGGAAUACGGAGGAUGCGAGCGUUAUCCGGGUUUAUUGGGUUUAAAGGGUGUGCAGGCGGAAGAUAAAGUCAGCGGUAAAAUUGAGAGG